Molecule: long non-coding RNA, 1541 nt
Organism: Hippocampus comes (tiger tail seahorse)
Lineage: Eukaryota; Metazoa; Chordata; Actinopteri; Syngnathiformes; Syngnathidae
Exons: 2
Source: RefSeq, a predicted model, not a curated record
GGUACGGGUUUCUGUAUUUUUAGAGCUGUCAUUUUAACACGGCAAUACCAGGAUCCUUUUGCUCAUCGACAUCAUUUCGUCAGAAUCCAAUACUGGUCCAUGCUUACAAAUGAUCAUUUGAGGACAGCAUCAAAUUAACAAUUUUAUUAUUACCUUGAAUUUUUUUGCAUGAUGGGUGGCGCUCUCGGAAAUUUGCCACUCCUUGUCAGUACAUUUUGCAUAGCCCUUCUCCUACAAGAACCGCCCCCCCCAACCCCCCAAAUAUCAGAGUACUCAAGUGCCGGAAAAAUUUCCCGAAGAGUCGACUUAUGAGGGGUAAAAGUUGUUGGGCAUACUGAGUACGCUCCAACUAUGGGAGGGGGCGGAUGUGUGUGUCUUGGGGGUGAGGCGGGGGAGGUGAUUGUGAGUGUGUGUGUGUGUGUGUGUGUGUGUGUGUGUGGGGGGGGUCAUGUCACUAUGCCUGCAGUGUCAACUCCGCUCAAUAAAAGGUUGGGCAACACUGUCCUAGACAGAGUGGCGACAAUAAAUUGCUCAGAUUACUUUUAUUUUUUUAUUUUUUAUUUUUUUGCCUGCACCAUCACAUGUGACGGAGCACAGUGUCAAAGCCAAAUCGUGGCCUAUUACAGCUUCGCUGGUUAUGAGGUCAGUUGCUUGGUAUGGUCUUGGGCUGACCUAGAUUGUGACACAUUAAGUGACGAAACUCAACAUUUCCCGACAAUAAAAUAAAACGUCCAUGUGCCAUGUAUGAGCAGUGGAAUGAGGUGGGGUGGGGGGGUGGGCUAACUAAAAUCAAGUCAUACUAAAACAACAAAACGCGAGGCUAAUAGUGCUAGCUUGAGGCAAAAGCAGGCCGGUUUUCAACAGCUCGAAUGCCGUUUGGCGAGGCACUUCCAGAAAGAAAUCCAUGGCUGCAUGGGUGUGGGCUACAUCCUGUGUGCGUCUCGGCAGCCAAGAAACGGCGCCAACUAUUCUUCCAGGCCAGGACCACCGCGGCGCAGCAACUUCGGGCGGACGAGAAGGAAAACACGGCCACCUUCCGCUCCUGCGGAUUUGUGGCUGAAGAUCGAUCCAAAAAUAAUGUGAGUACGUUGUUAAACGCUUAAAUAAAGUACCGCCGAACUCAGUUUUGCUCCCGAUGCUUUUUUAAAAAACAUACGCUAGCGUGCAUGCAUGCUCCCGUAUUUUUUUUUUUUUUUAAGAUAACAUACAUUUUAUCAUGCAGUGCGUCUUGGGUAUGUAUGAAAUACAGAAAUGGCAGCCAUAACGGACACGGCGCCUUUCAAUACGGUGCGCCAUCUGGUCGUGAAAAUACGGUAACUAAAACUUGUGGUUUUUUUUCGGCGCUUCACGCAGCGGCUCGGUCCUUCAUUGUGUACAGCAUCACAAACAAUUGGAUGGGAAGCGGAGCACAGUGAGGCUUAUUGGCAGCCGAUUGAAUGCCUUUUUGGGAGUAUUUCUCAUUAGCGCUUUGUUUCCAUACACUAUUUUUUUGAAGUUCUCCAUCAUUGCCAACCUCCUCGUGAAGCAGCCAGGAAGCCAUU